AGGUAUCAUGGAGGGUGAGAAUCCCGUGUAUACCAACCACUGGAACGUUAUUAAUACGAUUUCUAAGAGUCGAGUUGUUUGGGAAUGCAGCUCUAAAUGGGUGGUAAAUUUCACCUAAUGCUAAAUAUAAGCGAGAGACCGAUAGUGAACAAGUACCGUGAGGGAAAGAUGAAAAGAACUUUGAAAAGAGAGUUAAAUAGUACGUGAAAUUGUUGAAAGGGAAACGGUUGAAGUCAGUCAUACCGGUGGGAAUCAACUUAGGGGAAACUCUAAGUGCAUUUCUUUCGCUUGGUAAGGUUAGCGUCGAUUUUGGAUGUCAUAAAAUGACUGGGGGAAGGUAGCCCCCUUCGGGAGUGGUAAGCCCUUAGUAGAUGUGAUG
Molecule: ribosomal RNA, 379 nt
Filed under: Scutellospora sp. j15scut
Lineage: Eukaryota; Fungi; Glomeromycota; Glomeromycetes; Diversisporales; Gigasporaceae
Description: eukaryotic LSU rRNA
Rfam family: Eukaryotic large subunit ribosomal RNA
Source: RNAcentral